GAUGAAGAACGCAGCAAAAUGCGAUAAGUAAUGUGAAUUGCAGAAUUCAGUGAAUCAUCGAAUCUUUGAACGCACAUUGCGCCCGCCAGUAUUCUGGCGGGCAUGCCUGUUCGAGCGUCAUUUCAACCAUCAAGCCCCAGGCUUGUGUUGGGGACCUGCGGCUGCCGCAGGCCCUGAAAACCAGUGGCGGGCUCGCUAGUCACACCGAGCGUAGUAGCAUACACAUCGCUCAGGGCGUGCUGCGGGUUCCGGCCGUUAAACCCCUUUUUUACCCAAGGUUGACCUCGGAUCAGGUAGGAAGACCCGCUGAACUUAAGCAUAUCAUAAGCGGAGGA
This 335-nucleotide unclassified non-coding RNA is filed under the name soil metagenome. RNAcentral describes it as "partial contains 5.8S ribosomal RNA, internal transcribed spacer 2, and large subunit ribosomal RNA". The stretch from base 1 to 120 matches the Rfam family "5.8S ribosomal RNA", at positions 35 to 154 of the family's 154-position model. The record is from RNAcentral.